This 450-nucleotide ribosomal RNA is filed under the name uncultured bacterium. Its description in RNAcentral is "bacterial SSU rRNA". It matches the Rfam family "Bacterial small subunit ribosomal RNA", at positions 29 to 524 of the family's 1533-position model. The record is from RNAcentral.
AACGAACGCUGGCGGCAGGCCUAACACAUGCAAGUCGAACGCCCUAGCAAUAGGGAGUGGCAGACGGGUGAGUAACACGUGGGAACCUUCCCUAUAGUACGGAAUAUACCAGGGAAACUUGGAGCAAUACCGUAUACGCCCGAGAGGGGAAAGAUUUAUCGCUAUAGGAUGGGCCCGCGUAGGAUUAGCUAGUUGGUGAGGUAAUGGCUCACCAAGGCGACGAUCCUUAGCUGGUUUGAGAGAACGACCAGCCACACUGGGACUGAGACACGGCCCAGACUCCUACGGGAGGCAGCAGUGGGGAACAUUGGACAAUGGGCGCAAGCCUGAUCCAGCCAUGCCGCGUGAGUGAUGAAGGCCUUAGGGUUGUAAAGCUCUUUUGCCGGGGACGAUAAUGACGGUACCCGGAGAAUAAGUCCCGGCUAACUUCGUGCCAGCCGCCGCCGUAAG